UUCCAAGUUACAAAGAGCCAACGGUGGAUGCCUUGGCGUCAACUACCGAUGAAAGACGUGUCCGGCUGCGAAAAGCCACGGGGAGCUGCCUAGAGAGCUUUGAUCCGUGGAUGUCUGAAUGGGGAAACCCAGCACCCGUGAUGGGGUGUUACUCCGUACUGAAUACAUAGGUACGAGAGAGGGAACGGGGUGAAUUGAAACAUCUGAGUAGCCCCAGGAAAAGAAAGCAACAGCGACUCCCUGAGUAGCGGCGAGCGAAACGGGAUCAGCCUAAACCGUGCCGGUGUCAAAGCCUGAUGGCGUUGCCGGUAUGGGGUCGUGGGACCUGAGGGAAGGGGCAUCAGACCCUUCACAGAGUUACAAAGUGUCGAUGUAGUGGAAGCGUCCUGGAACGUCGCGCCACAGUGGGUAAGAGCCCCGUACACGAAACAUCGCCACCUCUGCUCGGAGUUCCCAAGUAGCGCCGGGACCGUGAAAACUGGCGUGAAUCUGCGAAGACCACUUCGUAAGGCUAAGUAUACGUUGACGACCGAUAGUGCACUAGUACCGUGAGGGAAAGGUGAAAAGUACCCCGGGAGGGGAGUGAAAUAGUACCUGAAACCGUUGGUUUACAAUCAGUCAAAGUGUCGUUCUCGAUUUAUCGAGAGCCACGAUGGCGUGCCUUUUGAAGAAUGAGCCAACGAGUUACGGUGUGUGGCAAGGUUAACCCGCUGAGGGGGAGCCGGAGCGAAAGCGAGUCUUAAUAGGGCGUUCAGUCGCAUGCUGUAGACCCGAAGCCGAGUGAUCUAUCCAUGGGCAGGUUGAAGCGGGGGUAAGACCCCGUGGAGGACCGAACCCACCACGGUUGAAAACGUGGGGGAUGACCUGUGGAUAGGGGUGAAAGGCCAAUCAAACUCGGUGAUAGCUGGUUCUCCGCGAAAUGCAUUUAGGUGCAGCGUCGGGUGUUCAGCGAUGGAGGUAGAGCACUGAAUGGGCUAGGGGUCCUACAAGAUUACCGAACCCAAUCAAACUCCGAAUGCCAUCGCUCCAGAGCCCGGCAGUGAGACUACGAGGGAUGAGCUUCGUGGUCGAGAGGGAAACAGCCCAGACCGCCAGCUAAGGCCCCAAAUUCUGGACUAAGUGGUAAACGAUGUGAGACUGCCCAGACAGCCAGGAGGUUGGCUUAGAAGCAGCCACCCUUGAAAGAGUGCGUAACAGCUCACUGGUCGAGUGGUCUUGCGCGGACAAUGUAACGGGGCUCAAGUCCAGAGCCGAAGCUGCGGAUGCGUCGCAAGACGCGUGGUAGCGGAGCGUCGAUCUCGGAGUGAAGCGGCGGGGGAACCCGUCGUGGACCGUGGUCGAGUGAGAAUGUUGGCAUGAGUAGCGAGAGAGGGGUGAGAAACCCCUCCGCCGAAAACCCAAGGGUUCCUGGGGAAGGCUAAUCCGCCCAGGGUAAGUCGGGAGCUAAGGCGAGGCCGAGAGGCGUAGUCGAUGCACAACCGGUUGAUAUUCCGGUACCGCUGUAUUCGCGCCCAUACCGAGCCAUUGUUGCUAAGGGGCUGUCACCUUCGGGUGGCGAACCGACCCACGAUGAGGAGGUAAGCAAUGAGGGGACGCAGGAGGGUAAGUGAACCCAGGCGCUGGUUGACCUGGGGUAAGCGUGUAGGGAGGGGACCAGGCAAAUCCGGGCCCCAUACAUCCUGAGACGUGACGCCGAGCCGAUUGAGGCGAAGUCACCGAUCCCAUGCUGCCGAGAAAAGCCUCUAGCGAGCUGAUACAGCGCCCGUACCCCAAACCGACACAGGUGGGUAGGUAGAGAAUACCAAGGCGAUCGGGAGAACUGUGGUUAAGGAACUCGGCAAAAUACCUCCGUAACUUCGGGAGAAGGAGGGCCUCAUCAGGGUGUAGGACCUCGCGUCCGAAGCCCGAAGAGGCGGCAGAAACCAGGGGAAAGCGACUGUUUACUAAAAACACAGCAGCGUGCGAAGUCCUAAGACGAUGUAUACGCUGUGACGCCUGCCCGGUGCUGGAAGGUUACGGGGAAGGGUUAGCUCUCGAGCGAAGCUCUGAACCUAAGCCCCAGUAAACGGCGGCCGUAACUAUAACGGUCCUAAGGUAGCGAAAUUCCUUGUCGGGUAAGUUCCGACCUGCACGAAUGGCGUAACGACUUUCCUACUGUCUCAACCACAGACCCGGCGAAAUUGAAGUACGAGUAAAGAUGCUCGUUAGCUGCAGAAGGACGGAAAGACCCCGUGGACCUUUACUAUAACUUGAUGUUGGGCUUUGGUAUGUGUUGUGUAGGAUAGGUGGGAGACUUUGAAGCAUUGGCGCCAGCCAGUGUGGAGUCAUCCUUGAAAUACCACCCUGCACAUGCUGGGGCUCUAACCCACGCCCGUUAUCCGGGUGGGGGACAGCGUCAGGCGGGUAGUUUGACUGGGGCGGUCGCCUCCUAAAGAGUAACGGAGGCGCUCAAAGGUUCCCUCAGCCUGGUUGGCAAUCAGGCGUCGAGUGCAAUGGCACAAGGGAGCUUGACUGCGAGACCUACAAGUCGAGCAGGUGCGAAAGCAGGACAUAGUGAUCCGGCGGUUGCGUGUGGAAGCGCCGUCGCUCAACGGAUAAAAGGUACCCCGGGGAUAACAGGCUCAUCUUCCCCAAGAGUCCAUAUCGACGGGAAGGUUUGGCACCUCGAUGUCGGCUCAUCGCAUCCUGGGGCUGAAGCAGGUCCCAAGGGUUGGGCUGUUCGCCCAUUAAAGCGGUACGCGAGCUGGGUUUAGAACGUCGUGAGACAGUUCGGUCCCUAUCCUCUGCAGCCGGAGGAGAUUUGAGGAAGGCUAUCCCUAGUACGAGAGGACCGGGAUGGACGUAGCUCUAGUGUGCCAGUUGUCCUGCCAAGGGCACGGCUGGUUGGCUACCUACGGAAGGGAUAAGCGCUGAAAGCAUCUAAGUGCGAAACCCGUUCCAAGAUGAGAUCUCCCACUGGGUCAACCAGGUAAGGCCCGUGGUAGACCACCACGUUGAUAGGCCGGAGGUGUACGUGCGGUAACGCAUUCAGCCGACCGGUACUAAUCGGCCGAGGGCUUGGAUCG
RNAcentral lists this ribosomal RNA (3065 nucleotides) under Acidobacteriota bacterium. RNAcentral describes it as "Acidobacteria bacterium (mine drainage metagenome) 23S ribosomal RNA". It matches the Rfam family "Bacterial large subunit ribosomal RNA". The record is from RNAcentral. Lineage: Bacteria; Pseudomonadati; Acidobacteriota.